Molecule: microRNA precursor, 72 nt
Filed under: Podarcis lilfordi (Lilford's wall lizard)
Lineage: Eukaryota; Metazoa; Chordata; Lepidosauria; Squamata; Lacertidae
Source: RNAcentral
UGUUAUUGGACUACAACUCCCAUCAUCCCUAGGCCAGAGCUCAGGGAUGAUGGGAGUUGUAGUCCAACAACA